Molecule: long non-coding RNA, 686 nt
Organism: Onychostruthus taczanowskii (white-rumped snowfinch)
Lineage: Eukaryota; Metazoa; Chordata; Aves; Passeriformes; Passeridae
Exons: 2
Source: RefSeq, a predicted model, not a curated record
GCAGCCGCGGCCCGGCCUGGCCGUUCCGGCAGCCCCGGCGGAAAGGCGCUGCGGAGCGUGCGGGCCGAGGCGGCGCGGCCUGAGGGGCUGCCCGGAACACAGCCCGGCACGGUUAAAGAAUAAAGCAGGGGUUUGCUAAAAGGCCUUCAAAGGAUACACCUUGGGCAGUGGAAGGGCCUGGCCGUGGCUACGCCCAAGUUGGACUCCAGGCCUGAAGCUGCAGCGGUGUCCUUGGUUCUGGGGCUGGAAAAGGAUUGUUUUGUCUGACCGAGCUGUGAGGAGAGCUGCUGACACUUCAUAUGGAGUUCAGUUAUACACAAUGCAGUACAGAAUCUGGGAAACAGGAAAGCUCAGACUUCAGGCAUCUGCAGCACUGCCAGGGCACAGCCGAGUGUCCCCAAAACACAAUAACACAGACAACCGCUCGUGUCCCCAGCUCAGCUCUUCAUCCUCAUUUCCACUGCUCGACCACUGAGGCUGGAAAAUACCUCCGAGGCCACCGAGGUCACCAGCACCACAUCCAGGAAUUCCUUGGACACCUGCAAUGAUGGGGACUCCAAAUCCCCCUGGGCAGCCCUUCCAAUGCCUGACCACCCUUUCCAUGGAGAAAUUCCUCCUGAAGUCCAAUCUAAAUCCAACCUAAACCUCAACUCUGGUGCAGUUUAAGUAAAUGUCUUCAAAUCCUG